Molecule: ribosomal RNA, 1206 nt
Filed under: uncultured bacterium
Lineage: Bacteria
Description: bacterial SSU rRNA
Rfam family: Bacterial small subunit ribosomal RNA
Source: RNAcentral
GCUUGCUUCUUUGAGACCGGCGCACGGGUGCGUAACGCGUAUGCAACCUACCUUUAUCUUGGGGGAUAGCCCGGAGAAAUCCGGAUUAAUACCGCAUAAAAUCACAGUAUUGCAUAAUACAAUGAUCAAACAUUUAUGGGAUGAAGAUGGGCAUGCGUGUCAUUAGCUAGUUGGCGGGGUAACGGCCCACCAAGGCGACGAUGACUAGGGGAUCUGAGAGGAUGACCCCCCACACUGGUACUGAGACACGGACCACACUCCUACGGGAGGCAGCAGUAAGGAAUAUUGGUCAAUGGAGGCAACUCUGAACCAGCCAUGCCGCGUGCAGGAAGACUGCCCUAUGGGUUGUAAACUGCUUUUAUCCGGGAAUAAACCUAUUUACGAGUAAAUAGCUGAAUGUACCGGAAGAAUAAGGAUCGGCUAACUCCGUGCCAGCAGCCGCGGUAAUACGGAGGAUCCAAGCGUUAUCCGGAUUUAUUGGGUUUAAAGGGUGCGUAGGCGGCCCGUUAAGUCAGGGGUGAAAGACGGUAGCUCAACUAUCGCAGUGCCUUUGAUACUGACGGGCUUGAAUGAACUAGAGGUAGGCGGAAUGAGACAAGUAGCGGUGAAAUGCAUAGAUAUGUCUCAGAACACCGAUUGCGAAGGCAGCUUACUAUGGUUUAAUUGACGCUGAGGCACGAAAGCGUGGGGAUCAAACAGGAUUAGAUACCCUGGUAGUCCACGCCCUAAACGAUGAACACUCGCUGUUGGCGAUACACAGUCAGCGGCUAAGCGAAAGCGUUAAGUGUUCCACCUGGGGAGUACGGUCGCAAGAUUGAAACUCAAAGGAAUUGACGGGGGCCCGCACAAGCGGAGGAGCAUGUGGUUUAAUUCGAUGAUACGCGAGGAACCUUACCCGGGCUUGAAAGUUAGUGAAUCAUUUAGAGAUAAAUGAGUGAGCAAUCACACGAAACUAGGUGCUGCAUGGCUGUCGUCAGCUCGUGCCGUGAGGUGUUGGGUUAAGUCCCGCAACGAGCGCAACCCCUAUGUUUAGUUGCCAGCACGUUAAGGUGGGGACGCUAAACAGACUGCCUGUGCAAACAGAGAGGAAGGAGGGGACGACGUCAAGGCAGCAUGGCCCUUCACGUCCGGGGCUCACACACGUGCUACAAUGGAUGGUAGCAGCGGGCAGCCACAUAGCACUAUGAUGCGAAGCGCACAAAGCCA